Molecule: ribosomal RNA, 439 nt
Filed under: uncultured bacterium
Lineage: Bacteria
Description: partial 16S ribosomal RNA
Rfam family: Bacterial small subunit ribosomal RNA
Source: RNAcentral
CUACGGGAUGCAGCAGUGAAGAAUAUUGCACAAUGGGGGGAACCCUGAUGCAGCAACGCCGCGUGGAGGAUGACGCAUUUCGGUGUGUAAACUCCUUUUAUAUGUCAAGAAAAUGACGGUAGCAUAUGAAUAAGCACCGGCUAACUCCGUGCCAGCAGCCGCGGUAAUACGGAGGGUGCAAGCGUUACUCGGAAUCACUGGGCGUAAAGGACGCGUAGGCGGGUUGGAAAGUCAGGUGUGAAAUCCUACAGCUUAACUGUAGAACCGCACUUGAAACUUCUAAUCUAGAGUAUGGGAGGGGGAGAUGGAAUUAGUGGUGUAGGGGUAAAAUCCGUAGAUAUCACUAGGAAUACCUAAAGCGAAGGCGAUCUCCUGGAACAUUACUGACGCUAAGGCGUGAAAGCGUGGGGAGCAAACAGGAUUAGAUACCCCCGUAGUC